RNAcentral lists this ribosomal RNA (349 nucleotides) under uncultured Glomus. Its description in RNAcentral is "SSU rRNA". It matches the Rfam family "Eukaryotic small subunit ribosomal RNA", at positions 569 to 923 of the family's 1831-position model. The record is from RNAcentral. Lineage: Eukaryota; Fungi; Glomeromycota; Glomeromycetes; Glomerales; Glomeraceae.
AGCAGCCGCGGUAAUUCCAGCUCCAAUAGCGUAUAUUAAAGUUGUUGCAGUUAAAAAGCUCGUAGUUGAAUUUCGGGAUUAGUGCGCUGGUCAUGCCUUUGGUAUGUACUGGUGUUACUGAUUUCUACCUUCUGAAGAACCGUUAUGUCAUUUAUUUGGUGUGGCGGGGAAUCAGGACUGUUACUUUGAAGAAAUUAGAGUGUUUAAAGCAGGCUCGCGCUUGAAUACAUUAGCAUGGAAUAAUGAAAUAGGACGUUUGACCCUAUUUUGUUGGUUUCUAGGAUCGACGUAAUGAUUAAUAGGGAUAGUUGGGGCAUUAGUAUUCGAUUGUCAGAGGUGAAAUUCUUGG